RNAcentral lists this ribosomal RNA (468 nucleotides) under uncultured bacterium. Its description in RNAcentral is "partial 16S ribosomal RNA". It matches the Rfam family "Bacterial small subunit ribosomal RNA", at positions 28 to 507 of the family's 1533-position model. The record is from RNAcentral.
GACGAACGCUGGCGGCGUGCUUAACACAUGCAAGUCGAACGGAAAGGCCCUGCUUUUGUGGGGUGCUCGAGUGGCGAACGGGUGAGUAACACGUGAGUAACCUGCCCUUGACUUUGGGAUAACUUCAGGAAACUGGGGCUAAUACCGGAUAGGAGCUCCUGCUGCAUGGUGGGGGUUGGAAAGUUUCGGCGGUUGGGGAUGGACGCGCGGCUUAUCAGCUUGUUGGUGGGGUAGUGGCUUACCAAGGCUUUGACGGGUAGCCGGCCUGAGAGGGUGACCGGCCACAUUGGGACUGAGAUACGGACCAGACUCCUACGGGAGGCAGCAGUGGGGAAUAUUGCACAAUGGGCGGAAGCCUGAUGCAGAAACGCCGCGUGCGGGAUGACGGCCUUCGGGUUGUAAACCGCUUUCGCCUGUGACGAAGCGUGAGUGACGGUAAUGGGUAAAGAAGCACCGGCUAACUACGUG